RNAcentral lists this small RNA (78 nucleotides) under Vibrio parahaemolyticus. RNAcentral's name for it is "isrK". It matches the Rfam family "isrK Hfq binding RNA". Lineage: Bacteria; Pseudomonadati; Pseudomonadota; Gammaproteobacteria; Vibrionales; Vibrionaceae. The record is from RNAcentral.
GCACUGGCAAAAUCCAGUGUCGGGAUUGAGACCCCGAAACUUACUAGGCGCAAGUCGCCAGCAUCCUGCUGGUUUUUU